AUGCAUCAAACAGUGAAGGGCAUCACGAAGGAGUUACAGAUCCGUGUCUUCAUAUUUCUGCUCUUCUGGGUAUCUGGUGCCUAUGGGAACAUUGUAAUGACCCAGUCUCCCAAGUCAUUACCUGUGUCAGUAGAAGACAAAGCCACCAUGAGUUGCAAAUCCAGUCAGAAUGUGGAUACCAGUAUAGCAUGGUAUCAACAGAAACCAGGGCAGACUCCUACAUUACUGAUCUACUCAGCUUCCACUCGGGAUACUGGGGUCCCUGAUAGCUUCACAGGGAGUGGGUCUUGGACAGACUUCACUCUCACCAUCAGCAGUGUCCAGGGUGAAGACCUGGCAGAUUAUUACUGUCAGCAGGACUACUUCCUACUUUCUCUUCUAGCAGGUUCAGAGUAG
Non-coding RNA from Peromyscus leucopus (white-footed mouse), 396 nucleotides. NCBI's taxonomy places the organism in Eukaryota, Metazoa, Chordata, Mammalia, Rodentia, Cricetidae. The record is from the annotation of a RefSeq genome assembly.